Molecule: RNA transcript, 1327 nt
Organism: Quercus lobata
Lineage: Eukaryota; Viridiplantae; Streptophyta; Magnoliopsida; Fagales; Fagaceae
Source: RefSeq, a predicted model, not a curated record
UACGGACAGCCUAGUCUUCGUCUCCCUCGUUAAGUUCCUCCUCUCUCACCCAAACCAAAACCUUCCCAGCUCUCAUCAAUGGCUUCCGUACCCAAUCCACUCAACAAUGAAAAUCCCAACAAAAACGAUACAAAUCCCAAUAACACGAACACCAUUCCCAUCUUCAUCUCCACUGAGUCUUUGCACGCCAUCCUCUCUCACCCAACUCUAAUAGAUCACUUGCAAUCAUCUCUCCCUGCAGCCUCGUCCACCCUCCAAACCCCAAUUCGCCAAAGCUACUCCGUUUCACAAUCCUCCUCUCUCCUUCUCAUGCCUUCUUGGUCCUCAUCCCCUUCUCUCCCCUACGUAGGUGUCAAGCUCGUCACCUAUUUCCCUCAAAACUCCGCGCUGAACUUGCCAGGAGUGCACGCAAGUUACGUGCUCUUCAGCUCUGUAACUGGGCAAACUUUGGCUUCCAUGGAUGGCACUGUGUUGACCCUUUAUAGAACCUCGUGUGUCUCUGGCUUAGCCUCUAAGAUUUUGGCUAGAAAUGACAGUGAAACGCUUGUGAUGAUUGGUGCUGGUGCUAUGGCACCCCAUUUGAUCAAAGCACAUCUUUCGGCUAGACCCAGUUUGCGAAGGGUGAUCAUUUGGAACAGAACAAUAGAACAAGAAAAUUGGCCGAGGAAAUGAGUGAAAAUGCUGGGUUUGAUGGGGUGUGUUUUGAGAGUAAUGAGUGUUUGGAGGAAAUUGUUGGAUUGGGAGAUAUUGUGAGCUGUGCAACGAAUUUGGAAACACCAGUUGUUAAGGGCGAGAGGUUGAAGGCAGGGGCGCAUUUGGAUUUGGUUGGAUCCUUCAAGCACUCGAUGAUGGAGUGUGACGACGAAGCAAUAAGGAGAGGAAGAGUGUUUGUGGAUAAUGAGGCUGCAUUGGUGGAAGCUGGAGAAUUGGUGGGUGCUUUUGAGAGAAGGGUAAUCGAAAAGGGAGAUAUUGGAGGAAAUUUGGUAGAGUUGAUUAAAGGAGAAAAGGUUGGCAGAAGAAGUUCAGAAGAGAUAACAGUAUUUAAGUCUGUUGGCUCUGCAAUUGUUGACAUUCUUGCAGCACAAUUGGUUUAUGAAACUUAUAUUGGAAAGCAGUAACUUGUCAAUUUGUUUUCUUUCUCGCACAUUUUGAUUUUGUUAAUUGUAACAUUUCUAUAUGUCUUUCUCGCACAUUUUGUUUUUUUAAUAAUUUUAACAUUUCUAUUCUGUCUAAUUUCUAUGCCUAUGUUAUACCAUUUGCACAAGUCUUUGUGAUAUUAAUCCACGCCCUACUUAGUCAUGUAGACUAAACCUCUUAGUCUUAGACA